This 429-nucleotide ribosomal RNA is filed under the name Actinomycetes bacterium. RNAcentral's name for it is "Actinobacteria bacterium partial 16S ribosomal RNA". It matches the Rfam family "Bacterial small subunit ribosomal RNA", at positions 355 to 776 of the family's 1533-position model. The record is from RNAcentral. Lineage: Bacteria; Bacillati; Actinomycetota; Actinomycetes.
UAGGGAAUCUUCCGCAAUGGGCGAAAGCUUGCCGGAGCAACGCCGCGUGAGUGAUGAAGGUCUUCGGAUCGUAAAACUCUGUUAUUAGGGAAGAACAAAUGUGUAAGUAACUAUGCACGUCUUGACGGUACCUAAUCAGAAAGCCACGGCUAACUACGUGCCAGCAGCCGCGGUAAUACGUAGGUGGCAAGCGUUAUCCGGAAUUAUUGGGCGUAAAGCGCGCGUAGGCGGUUUUUUAAGUCUGAUGUGAAAGCCCACGGCUCAACCGUGGAGGGUCAUUGGAAACUGGAAAACUUGAGUGCAGAAGAGGAAAGGGGAAUUCCAUGUGUAGCGGUGAAAUGCGCAGAGAUAUGGGGGAACACCAGUGGCGAAGGCGACUUUCUGGUCUGUAACUGACGCUGAUGUGCGAAAGCGUGGGGAUCAAACAGG